This 459-nucleotide ribosomal RNA is filed under the name uncultured bacterium. Its description in RNAcentral is "partial 16S ribosomal RNA". It matches the Rfam family "Bacterial small subunit ribosomal RNA", at positions 28 to 507 of the family's 1533-position model. The record is from RNAcentral.
GAUGAACGCUGGCGGCGCGCCUAACACAUGCAAGUCGAACGGCACCCCUCCUCGGAGGGAAGCGAGUGGCGAACGGCUGAGUAACACGUGGAGAACCUGCCCCCUCCCCCGGGAUAGCCGCCCGAAAGGACGGGUAAUACCGGAUACCCCAGGGUCCCGCAUGGCACCCCGGCUAAAGCCCCGACGGGGGGGGAUGGCUCCGCGGCCCAUCAGGUAGACGGCGGGGUGACGGCCCACCGUGCCGACACCGGGUAGCCGGGUUGAGAGACCGACCGGCCAGGUUGGGACUGAGACACGGCCCAGACUCCUGCGGGAGGCAGCAGUGGGGAAGCUUGCGCAAUGGGGGGAACCCUGACGCAGCGACGCCGCGUGCGGGACGGAGGCCUUCGGGUCGUAAACCGCUUUCAGCAGGGAAGAGUCAAGACUGUACCUGCAGAAGAAGCCCCGGCUAACUACGUG